Molecule: ribosomal RNA, 468 nt
Filed under: uncultured bacterium
Lineage: Bacteria
Description: partial 16S ribosomal RNA
Rfam family: Bacterial small subunit ribosomal RNA
Source: RNAcentral
GACGAACGCUGGCGGCGUGCUUAACACAUGCAAGUCGAACGGAAAGGCCCUGCUUUUGUGGGGUGCUCGAGUGGCGAACGGGUGAGUAACACGUGAGUAACCUGCCCUUGACUUUGGGAUAACUUCAGGAAACUGGGGCUAAUACCGGAUAGGAGCUCCUGCUGCAUGGUGGGGGUUGGAAAGUUUCGGCGGUUGGGGAUGGACUCGCGGCUUAUCAGCUUGUUGGUGGGGUAGUGGCUUACCAAGGCUUUGACGGGUAGCCGGCCUGAGAGGGUGACCGGCCACAUUGGGACUUAGAUACGGCCCAGACUCCUACUGGAUGCAGCAGUGGGGAAUAAUGCACAAUGGGCGGAAGCCUGAUGCAGCAACGCCGCGUGCGGGAUUACGGCCUUCGGGUUGUACACCGCUUUCGCCUGUGACUAAGCGUGAGGGACGGAAAUGUGUAAAGAAGGACCGGCUAACUAAGUG